GAGUUUGAUCAUGGCUCAGGAUGAACGCUGGCGGUAUGCUUAAUACAUGCAAGUCGAGCGAGAGUCUUCGGACUCGAGCGGCGAACGGGUGAGUAACACGUAGGAAAUCUGCCGUAAAGACUGGGAUACCAGACCGAAAGGUUUGCUAAUACCGGAUAUGAAUUGGGGAGGCAUCUCCCGAAUUUGAAAGUUGCGUAUGCAACACUAUACGAUGAUCCUGCGGCGCAUUAGUUAGUUGGUGAGAUAACAGCCCACCAAGACGAGGAUGCGUAGCCGACCUGAGAGGGUGAUCGGCCACAAUGGAACUGAGCCAGGAUCAAACUC
Molecule: ribosomal RNA, 324 nt
Filed under: uncultured bacterium
Lineage: Bacteria
Description: bacterial SSU rRNA
Rfam family: Bacterial small subunit ribosomal RNA
Source: RNAcentral